AUCCAGCUGAUGAUUUCCAAAUAGGACGAAACGCGCGUCCUGGAU
This 45-nucleotide non-coding RNA is filed under the name Schistosoma margrebowiei. Lineage: Eukaryota; Metazoa; Platyhelminthes; Trematoda; Strigeidida; Schistosomatidae. The record is from RNAcentral.